Long non-coding RNA from Daktulosphaira vitifoliae (grape phylloxera), 3805 nucleotides. RefSeq lists it as uncharacterized. The record is from RefSeq and is a predicted model, not a curated record. Lineage: Eukaryota; Metazoa; Arthropoda; Insecta; Hemiptera; Phylloxeridae. The transcript has 3 exons.
UACACUUGGGUUGUGUCAUUUAAUGUAUAAAUGAAACAAGGAGAGAGAAAUUGAGGGUUGACAUAAUAAAAUAUAAAGCAAUUUAAUCAACAGCACGCUUGUGAUGGGAAAGUUAGCUUGAAAGACCCGUUUUACACAACUGCAAACAUCUCCGGAUUUCAUUUUAUCAAUUUCGAUAGUAUUGCUUAUUUAAAUAAGUAUACUAGAUGCAUCAUUUUCAUACCCACUCGCUUCAUUGUCUUGGAUGUCCUUGCUACAAAAAUCAUCAUCAAGCAUAUUGUAUUUACACGUGUACUGAAAUUAUAUUUAUCAACGCUUCUCUAUUUUAAAAAUAUUCGUACUAAACUAUCAGUAAAAAAGUGAACUUUGUACGAAAUAGUAUUUUUUUUUAUGUUGCAUACAACGUAUAUGACACUAGUGUACUCGUUUAUAGACGUCUAGUACGUCAUUCGAAUUCGUUCAAUACCAAAAUAUCUGUUGAAUUUAUUAGAUUAUAAAUUUUAUCUUUAAAAGAUAAAUUGAAGUCCUUAAUUUUAGUCAUAAAAAUAUCUUUACGAAAAUAUUAAUUUUACUUUAAUAGUUUUUUAAUCCUGUAUGAGUACAACUUCUUAUUCAUUAAAUUUAAUUUGAAGUCUUAAUUGUAUUCAUAAACAAAAGUAUAGUAACCUGGAGAAAAGUGACGAAUGGGGUAAGAUGAACUAUUAUUAAUAAAUUAUUUAGAUUUUAAAAUAUGGUCAAAUUGUUUAAUUUUAAUGAAUUUACUAUAAUCAUUAGAAAAUUGAUAAUGUUUGGUACUAUGGGUGCUGCAAAUGUGACCUGCCCAAAUAGGUUUUAUCUUAUAGGUAAUGUGCAGUGGCCUACGAAAUUACAUUUUUAUUAUUUUAUAGAAGUUCUUUCUUCGCAGACAUCUAUACUGUAAUUAGCGUAUGUGUUAUUGUCCCUUAAGUUUCACGUAAUUAUAAUUGUUUGUGCGCUAAUAUAAUGUUCAAUGUAAUAAGUACAUUCAAGCAUUUCUUAUAAUAAUGGAGUUUCUAGAUUAAAUUAAAGGAUAAUUCGUAUACAAUUGUUAGCGUUAGGUCUGGUCGCAUGUAUAUGUAUAUGUAUAUAUAUUUUCAAUACUUAUAAUUCGUUUUGCAUUGUUUGGUUGCUUUUAAUGACGAAUGAUAGAUCAAAUCAAAAUCAAUCUACUGAGGAGCGCCAAAUCAGAUAAAAUGGUCUAAUGAAUGUAUAAUUAUUAUUUUAUUCAUAGCAUAAAUAUAUUUAUGUAAUUAUUUAAAUUACUAACGCUUGAGUAAUACCAAAAAUUGUUAUUACUGCAUAAACUGAUAGUAAUCAAUGAUUUAAUAAAUUACAGUCCACGAGAAAUUUUUAUUUAUUACUUUAAAUUUUACCUAUUAUAAAUACGAAGUCUAACUAGCUUAGUUAGACUAAACAAUUAGCUUAAUUGUCGUCCGAGUAGUUAAGUCGAACAGAUAAACACUUAGGAGUUUGACCAUAUUUUAAAAUCUAAAUAAUUUAUUGAUAAUAGUUCAUUUUACUCCAUUCGUCAUCAGUCUGAAAUAGAAUGUAUAAAGUAUGAAACGCAUAAAUCUUUUCUGUAUCAUGAUGAUAUGAAAUACUAUGCAAAUAUUAUUGUAAAAUAAAUAAAUGAUAUUUGUUAGAAAGAUCACUCUUCCGGAACAAUAGACUCAAUAAACUGAGCAAACUGUUGCGAUAGAUCUAACAACACUUACCAACUUUCAAGUGUGGGUUGUGUGCUCACAAGAAAAUUCAUUAGAUGCCACUUGAAUACGAGUUUUGGUUAUCAUUUAGUAAACGAAAACUAUUCUAGUUAUUCAAAAUACAGCUAAUCAAUAAAAAGGGUGAUGAAGAAAUCUAAGUAUAUGCAAGCUUAGAAGAAUUAAUUAAACUUACAAAAUCUGAUGACAACAUAAUCGACAUGAGAGAUUUCAAUGCAAAUGUUGAAGAAGGAACAUAUGGACAAUUAAGAAAUCAAGUAAAUAGAAAAACCUGGCUAGAGGAGCAAUGUAAAUAAACUGAAACAUUUUUUAAAAAUAAUCAAUACAGUUCAUGCCUAUCGUAAGAUUUUUAAAGUGGUUAGAAUAAAAAACAAGCUGACAAAACUGGGAAUUAAGGGAAUAACAGACAAAGAUAAUAUUAAAAUUAGAAUUUAAUUUUAAAACAGUAGUCAAAUGGUAAAAAAUGCUUUCUUUAAGUUCACAAGAGACAUAUAUAAGCAGAGAAAUGUUCCAGAUUCAGAACGACAUUAGAAUACUGCACUUAUAAUACAGACAUCAAAUAGCUGAAAUUAAAAAAGAUGAGGCAAAAGAAAAUGGUAAAAAAAUUAAUACAGCAAGAUUGCACUUUAUCACCACUUUUAUUCAAUUGAUAAAUAGCAAAAAAUAAUUGAAACAGUAAAGAAAAAACUAAUGAGACAGUACAUUGGAGUUAAAGUUAGAGACGAAAACAUAUCUAUGAUACUUUUCGCUAACGAAAUAGUAAUAAUAAAUGAGAGUGACGGAAAUAAAUGCUGUAUAUUUCUACAUUAUUAGCUAUCAACGAAAUUGAAGAGAUGCUUAGUCCUAUCGGAAUGAAAAUCAAUAAAAUAAAACUAAGAUACUAAUUUUCACAAAAAAAAACCAGAAAUAUAUAUGUUGAUAAAUAUCUAGAUAAGUAUAAACUUGACCAAGUAUACGAAUUUCCAUAUUUAGGGAGUAUUAUUAAAACAGAUGGAAAGUGCACAAGAUAAAUCACGGGAUACAUAGAAAUAGCAAAAUCAGCGUUCAUAAAUAAAUUUAAAUUAAUUACCUAAAAGAAAUAGAAUCUCAACCUUAGGAAAAUUUUCAUUAAAACUUAGGUUUGGAAUAUAGAAAAGGAGUACGACUGUGAAACAUAAGUUAAAAAAGUAACUAAAAUAAAAGAAUUAGGGUCGUAUGAGAAAUUAUUCUAAAGACACAUGCAAAAAAUAAGUUGGGAGGAACGAAUAUGUACUGGAAAUAAUUGGCAAGGAAUGUGUACUAAUAGACUUGAUUAGGAAGAGAAGAUGGAAAAUAAUGGGACACACACUAAGACAUCCAGAGGAACUACACAGCACAAUACUAAAAAAUGUGAUCGAAGGAAAAAGAACACCUGGGUGACCUUGCAACACAUUUAUUGGAUACAUAAAAAAAUAUGCAAGAAUUAGAAGCUUUAGAGCUCUUAAAUAAAUAGCAAGUGAUCAUGAAAAUGGAGAAGACAAGUGGCAAACCACAACAAAUUUUUUUAACCUACAGAUUAAAAAAAAUUCAUAAUAACUAAUGUGAACAAAAUAUAAAAAAUAAAUAUUUAUAAAGAAGUUGUAGGAAAUUAUAAGAUCUUAUGUUUUGAAAACUUAAUGAUCAGUAAUUAUCAGUAAAUAAUUAAAUACUUCAUCUAAUUCAUGGAUAUCUAUCAAAUAGAGCCCUAGUCAUAAGGUACUAACUAAUAGCACAUUAUGAAUCUACAUUCAGAAUAAAAAAUUUUAUGUAUGGAACUUUAAGCAAACCUCAAAUUAGUAUUCUAAUUUUUUUACAUUUAAUACAACACCGGUAAAUAACCAAAACAUUUUGGCAAGAACGGUUGGUUAUAAAAUGAAUUACUUAUAAAUUAAAUGCGCUCUCCUUAAAUAUAUGAAAGUUCGCAAAGAACUUUAUCAAUCUAAGACUGCAAUUUUUUACAUCAACGCUAUUUAAAUGAGGUUUUCCAACCAAAAUUAAAAUAAAAUAGGUAAAAAAAAAAACACGUAGAGGAAAAACAAAUUGUAAGUAUUAUUCAAAAGCCAAAUAAU